Molecule: ribosomal RNA, 479 nt
Filed under: uncultured bacterium
Lineage: Bacteria
Description: partial 16S ribosomal RNA
Rfam family: Bacterial small subunit ribosomal RNA
Source: RNAcentral
GACGAACGCUGGCGGCGCGCUUAACACAUGCAAGUCGAGCGAUGAAAUUUCGACAGAUCCCUUCGGGGUGAAGAUGAAAUGGAUUAGCGGCGGACGGGUGAGUAACACGUGAGUAACCUGCCUUUGACAUUGGGAUAGCCUCGGGAAACUGGGAUUAAUACCAAAUGACACUAACUGAUCACAUGAUCAAUUAGUCAAAGAAAUUCGGUCAAAGAUGGACUCGCGGCUGAUUAGCUAGUUGGUGAGGUAACGGCCCACCAAGGCGACGAUCAGUAGCCGGCCUGAGAGGGUGCUCGGCCACAUUGGAACUGAGACACGGUCCAAACUCCUACGGGAGGCAGCAGUGGGGAAUAUUGCACAAGGGGGGAAACCCUGAUGCAGCGACGCCGCGUGAGCGAAGAAGGCCUUCGGGUCGUAAAGCUCUUUUAUGAGGGAAGAUAAUGACGGUACCUCAAGAAAAAGCCCCGGCUAACUACGUG